GCUUGACUGCGAGACCUACAAGUCGAGCAGGGUCGAAAGACGGACUUAGUGAUCCGGUGGUUCCGCAUGGAAGGGCCAUCGCUCAACGGAUAAAAGCUACCCCGGGGAUAACAGGCUUAUCUCCCCCAAGAGUUCACAUCGACGGGGAGGUUUGGCACCUCGAUGUCGGCUCAUCGCAUCCUGGGGCUGUAGUCGGUCCCAAGGGUUGGGCUGUUCGCCCAUUAAAGCGGUACGCGAGCUGGGUUCAGAACGUCGUGAGACAGUUCGGUCCCUAUCCGUCGUGGGCGUAGGAAAUUUGAGAGGAGCUGUCCUUAGUACGAGAGGACCGGGAUGGACAUACCUCUGGUGUACCAGUUGUCGUGCCAACGGCAUAGCUGGGUAGCUAUGUAUGGACGGGAUAAGUGCUGAAAGCAUCUAAGCAUGAAGCCCCCCUCGAGAUGAGAUUUCCCAACUUC
RNAcentral lists this ribosomal RNA (455 nucleotides) under Staphylococcus pseudintermedius. Its description in RNAcentral is "partial 23S ribosomal RNA". It matches the Rfam family "Bacterial large subunit ribosomal RNA", at positions 2367 to 2821 of the family's 2925-position model. Lineage: Bacteria; Bacillati; Bacillota; Bacilli; Caryophanales; Staphylococcaceae. The record is from RNAcentral.